Molecule: long non-coding RNA, 476 nt
Filed under: Manihot esculenta (cassava)
Lineage: Eukaryota; Viridiplantae; Streptophyta; Magnoliopsida; Malpighiales; Euphorbiaceae
Description: long non-coding RNA (MESC_LNC010734)
Source: RNAcentral
GGUGGAGGAAACUCAGGUGCAAGGAAGCAGCACUCAGCACAAGCAAACACUGUCGUUGCUGUUGCAACUGUACCUUCUUCAUUUACUUCAAUAAAAGACUUGUGAAUUGCAUCUGUGACACAAAUAUCUGAGCCAUCAACAAUCUCUGUGAGCUCCCUGUUCUUCUCAAAAAUCAUAGUCAAUCCCAAUUCUCUCAUUAUUUUCUUAGCAUCUAUCUCAUAAGAGAACUUGAACUUGGGAAUAUAAAUCUUGGAAAGUUUCACUUGUUGAAGCUCCCAAUUCUGAUGUAACAAUCUCGGAUCUGAAGUGAAGUGUUGUAUUAAUUCUUGCAGGCCAUCUUUCUUAUCAGGAAGAAAGAUGUACAUGGAAAAUUGUUUGCUGUCUUGACCAGAAUUGUAUGGCAGCUUCAGAAGUUUGAAACCCUCAAAUGAUCCAUAGAACUGUGGCUUACUAGGGUAGCUAAUCAUGAAGAGAAC